This 3352-nucleotide long non-coding RNA is filed under the name Setaria italica (foxtail millet). RNAcentral's name for it is "long non-coding RNA (SITA_LNC007354)". Lineage: Eukaryota; Viridiplantae; Streptophyta; Magnoliopsida; Poales; Poaceae. The record is from RNAcentral.
GAUUCCUUGUGAAGAUAGUCUGUUUCCUGUUGUUGUGGGCAAUUAGCUUAUUGACGAUGAAGAUGUAGUGCUGGGUUGUAUCAUAGCAUCUCUUGUUAUCACUGAGUAUGUUACAUCAUAUUGUGCGGAUAAUGGAAGUAUAGAGUAUUAGAGCCGUAGGGACCAAUCUUGAAAUUCUCUGGUAGUCUUUUGUCUGUCAUGUUGGAAGUGUUAAUAACUAGCAUGAACCCUUACAUAUAAUUUGGUUCAAAGAAACACCACAAAAGGAAGACAGAAUUCAUGGAUAUUUUCUCCAUUUGAUCGUGAAUGCUUUCGGGUCAUUUUUACCUUUAAAAUGAUCUGAAUUACAUGUCCCAUGAAAUACAACAUGUUCAUUCGAAAUAUGAAAUAAUUCCUCAGUUCUUGUUUGCAUAUAACAUUUGUAAAGUUUACACCGCCAUUGAAAGUAGUUUGAGUUGUCAUGGCCAUCUGUGUUGCCACCUUCAAGAGCCAAACCAACCUCACAUUUCGUUAGUUUAUCUCCAUUUUGCACGAAGUCAUGCGUAUCACAUUAUACAGCCCACCGAAGGAGCUAUAUAAAUCGCGGUGCAAAAUAAGGUGUCACGCAAACAUGUUUGUAUAUCUGGAUGCACACAAUUAAGAUAAAUGGACUUUGGCAUUCAACAUGAUUUAUCAGUAGAGAAAUUACACUACUGCAUUUAGAUUUGCAUAAUCAGAAGUGGUGAAAGAAAAUAACAGAAGCACUUUAGGUAUUAAUCUAGCUUUAACAUAAGUUGCAAGCUACCAACUUUGAUUGACAGAACGAAAUUCCAUUGUAGUGUAAGGCAAUGUUCAGCUUAGAUAAUCAUAAAUUGACUGGAGGACUGCAAUUGAACAUGGAGAUUUUUAGUGGAAAUUCGAGGAAAACUGAUCUCUCAAAUGAGAUAUUGUCUGUUAACACGUAAGGCAGUGAACCAAAACAUAUUAUUGCAUCAUAUUGAAAUUUUCAGGUGACCGUUCAGACAAAGGGAAGAAAUACAUACUACAGAGUGUUGUCUGCAGCUGAGACAGAAUUCAGUAUAGUGUCUAGGCUGUGUAGUCUAUUCCUUUUUGGUUUACUUGGAAAACUAAAGGUGUAGAAUAGCAUCUGCAGUUCAGCAUGGCAACUCUUUUUGGUCACUUACUCCCGGUAAGGAACGAAAGGCAUAAUAGGCCUUUUCAUCCCUCAACCAUCAGCUGAGGCUCAAUUUAGUCCCCAAACUAUCAAAGUGGUCGUUUUAGUCCUCAAACUUUUAUUUUAGGGUCAGUCUCGUCCCCCAUCCUACAUGGCAUGCCACGCUGUUCGACCAUGUCAGCUGCAGCAUGCCUCGCUGUCUCUCCCCCUCCCUCAUGGACUGGCGACCAUUCAAAGCAGCAGUAUGAGCUACUACAGAAACUAAGUGACACCGAUGGCCAAUGCAACCACCUGACCAGGACUACUAGACAGGAUACUAUUAAAGCAGCAGCAGCAGCAUCAAAUCACCUCGCCGCGGGAGAACAAUAUCAAAAUAGUCUUGGACUGAAGCACACCCUUGACACCAAUACUCCAGCCACAAAACAGGAAGAUCACGCCUUCUCUAUCAAACUUCUCCCUGCUCCGUCUUCAAAUUCCAAGCACGAGCAAUGAAACCUGCUCCUCGCUGCCUCUUCUAAAUCAAAGCAAUAAUUGUUUUUCUUCUACAAAUCAUUAGCGCCAAGCACCAGAGCAGGCCCAGCAUGCCAUGCUUCUCGCUGCCGCGUGGAGCUGCGGUGGCUGAGAAUUGGCAUAUAGAUGCACGAAACUCCCUCACCCUCCCCAAAUCCAACACCUGCCACCAGUCGGCGACAGUUGUGGUGUUGGAGCUGACGUGGCGCGACAGCGUGGCGUGCCACGUAGGACAAGGGACAAGAUUGAACCCAAACGAAAAGUUUGAGGACUGAAACGACCACUUUAGUAGUUCAGAGACGAAAUUGAGCUUUGGCCCAUAGUUGAGGGAUGAAGGUGGCUAUUUUGCCGAACAGAAAAGAAAAAAUGAGCUGACGUCAGCAGAUGCAAAACAUCAAGGGGUCUAAGAAAAUGAGAUGAGACUGUGCAAUCAAUCGUAAGUAGUUUCGCAAUACAAGUUUAAGGCCCUACUUUACUUUUAAACCAGACGUUGCGUGAGGAACCAACUGUGAAGUUGCAUUCUUCACUCGUACAUUCAGAUGAAUUCAGUGUUUCAAAAAGCAGUGGUAGGCAGGUUGGAAGAAUGAAAUUUAUAGGCAAAUUAUAUGCCUACAAAGAUGUACAUGAAUACCUGCCAGCUGCAGCGAGUAGAAAUACCUAAUUUGACUAGGAAGAUGUGCAUGUAUAUCUGCAGGCUAGCAACGCCCUUCAGCUGUGCCAAACAUCAUGAGUAACAUCUGGAGAAAACAAACAAUGUAAAUGUAGUGGAUUUACUCUCUAUUGCCUUUGUGGAGACUAUGGUAAGUUUAGCUGUCAAUCACUUUGCUAAUGUUAUUAAUUUCAAUCAGUCCAUGGGGUAAGUACCUGUACCUGACGAAUUUGUUCACAUCAGAACGUGCUGCAUUUGCCUGUGUUUUUAACACCCAGAGUACGAUUAUCUGUUUUGCCUGUGUUUCUUCUCCACCCACGGCUGACAGCUCGCUGUUCCUUGCCGUGCAUCUCAUCGUGUCGUUGAGUUAGCACGUGGCCUGUUUGUUCGUGGUCGGGCGUCGCAGGGCGGGCGCGCUUCGUUCGCAAACUGGACUGGCCAUGACCUCCCGUCCGAUGGCUCCGCCGUCGACUAGGACACGGUGCUUGUGUGAUUUCACAACACGCCGGACCUGGCGAUGACAGAAUACAACGCGCUACUUGUGCAGUUGUGCGGUUAAGAGGUCACGGCUCGUGACGCGCGACCCGUGGAUGCGCCUGUGGCAGCCGCAACGUAACGGCUGUCGGUGAGCCCCGGGCCGCGUCGCGCCGCGGCGGCAACACACGCUAUUGCGCUUACCAUGUCCUGACACCCCCCACAGGUGCACUCUGCUUGCAACUUGCAAGACGAAACGAAGGCGCUUCCCGCGUGCGGGCGGCGGACAACUCGCCGGGAGCCCGGGACGGUCGAUAAAUCGAACACCGACCACCCCGGCCGGUCACCUAUCCCCCGCUUGCGGUAGGUAGCGACAGGGGGCGGAGCUUGACCAGAAUAAACGAAAGGGAGGUGCGGCACCUUCACAGCAUUCGUAGACAUUCAAUUUAUUUAACAUGAUGAGAAUUUAGACGUGACAAGGAACUAUGAAUUUUUACCAGUUGCGGAGACCCCUUGGUCGUGGUCGGUAACUCUUCAGUAAUUCUCGGCGAUGGCGCAUCGACGCG